GAAUCUGCCUUCAGGACGGGGAUAACAGGAGGAAACUGCUGCUAAAACCGGAUAUGCCGAAAGGUGAAAGUAUUAAUAGCCUGAAGAGGAGCUCGCGUCUGAUUAGCUAGUUGGUAGGGUAAAAGCUUACCAAGGCGACAAUCAGUAGCUGGUCUGAGAGGACGAUCAGCCACACUGGGACUGAGACACGGCCCAGACUCCUACGGGAGGCAGCAGUGGGGAAUUUUCCGCAAUGGGCGAAAGCCUGACGGAGCAAGACCGCGUGGGGGAGGAAGGUUCUUGGAUUGUAAACCCCUUUUCUCAGGGAAGAAAAAAAUGACGGUACCUGAGGAAUAAGCAUCGGCUAACUCCGUGCCAGCAGCCGCGGUAAUACGGAGGAUGCAAGCGUUAUCCGGAAUAAUUGGGCGUAAAGCGUCCGUAGGUGGUCAUUCAAGUCUGCCGUUAAAGAGUGGGGCUUAACCCCACAAAGGCGGUGGAAACUGAAAGACUAGAGUGCAGUAGGGGUAGAGGGAAUUCCCGGUGUAGCGGUGAAAUGCGUAGAGAUCGGGAAGAACACCGGUGGCGAAAGCGCUCUGCUGGACUGCAACUGACACUGAGGGACGAAAGCUAGGGGAGCG
RNAcentral lists this ribosomal RNA (617 nucleotides) under uncultured cyanobacterium. Its description in RNAcentral is "bacterial SSU rRNA". It matches the Rfam family "Bacterial small subunit ribosomal RNA", at positions 122 to 770 of the family's 1533-position model. The record is from RNAcentral. Lineage: Bacteria; Bacillati; Cyanobacteriota.